AAACACCUUUCCUGCGAGCGCCGGGGGUGCGGGGCUUUCGGCGAGCUCCUUGCAGCUGUGGAGCUGUGAAAUGAAAUGGGAAAAAGACGUCCUCUGGGAGCGGGAUUCCGAGGCUGCCCUCAGAGUCAGCAAGAUUGGAAAAUAUGUCUGAAGUGUUGUGGGACUCAUCACUUCAUCAGAUCAUUUUCUCCAGUACUAAUAAGGAGUACAGAAUGCCCACAGGAGUAGAGAAUGUAGAUUAACUGAAGAUAGCCAUUAUGAUGAUUGGCUAAAUUACUUUUGAUAUACCAACAUCCCACACCAGGAUGGCAUCCAAACCUGCUUUACAUAUCUACAGG
Molecule: long non-coding RNA, 338 nt
Organism: Alligator sinensis (Chinese alligator)
Lineage: Eukaryota; Metazoa; Chordata; Crocodylia; Alligatoridae
Exons: 3
Source: RefSeq, a predicted model, not a curated record